Molecule: ribosomal RNA, 649 nt
Filed under: Salmonella enterica subsp. enterica serovar Agona
Lineage: Bacteria; Pseudomonadati; Pseudomonadota; Gammaproteobacteria; Enterobacterales; Enterobacteriaceae
Description: partial 23S ribosomal RNA
Rfam family: Bacterial large subunit ribosomal RNA
Source: RNAcentral
GGGGGUAGAGCACUGUUUCGGCUAGGGGGCCAUCCCGGCUUACCAACCCGAUGCAAACUGCGAAUACCGGAGAAUGUUAUCACGGGAGACACACGGCGGGUGCUAACGUCCGUCGUGAAGAGGGAAACAACCCAGACCGCCAGCUAAGGUCCCAAAGUCAUGGUUAAGUGGGAAACGAUGUGGGAAGGCCCAGACAGCCAGGAUGUUGGCUUAGAAGCAGCCAUCAUUUAAAGAAAGCGUAAUAGCUCACUGGUCGAGUCGGCCUGCGCGGAAGAUGUAACGGGGCUAAACCAUGCACCGAAGCUGCGGCAGCGACACUCAGGUGUUGUUGGGUAGGGGAGCGUUCUGUAAGCCUGCGAAGGUGGCCUGUGAGGGUUGCUGGAGGUAUCAGAAGUGCGAAUGCUGACAUAAGUAACGAUAAAGCGGGUGAAAAGCCCGCUCGCCGGAAGACCAAGGGUUCCUGUCCAACGUUAAUCGGGGCAGGGUGAGUCGACCCCUAAGGCGAGGCCGAAAGGCGUAGUCGAUGGGAAACGGGUUAAUAUUCCCGUACUUGGUGUUACUGCGAAGGGGGGACGGAGAAGGCUAUGUUGGCCGGGCGACGGUUGUCCCGGUUUAAGCGUGUAGGUGUGUGUUCCAGGUAAAUCCGGUU